GACGAACGCUGGCGGCGUGCUUAACACAUGCAAGUCGAGCGGUAAGGCCCUUUCGGGGGUACACGAGCGGCGAACGGGUGAGUAACACGUGGGUGACCUGCCCUCAGCUCUGGGAUAAGCCUGGGAAACUGGGUCUAAUACCGGAUAUGACUCCAUGACGCAUGUUGUGGGGUGGAAAGCCUUGUGCGGCUGAGGAUGGGCCCGCGGCCUAUCAGCUUGUUGGUUGGGUGANGGCCUACCAAGGCGACGACGGGUAGCCGGCCUGAGAGGGCGACCGGCCACACUGGGACUGAGACACGGCCCAGACUCCUACGGGAGGCAGCAGUGGGGAAUCUUGCGCAAUGGGCGAAAGCCUGACGCAGCGACGCCGCGUGAGGGAUGACGGCCU
This 388-nucleotide ribosomal RNA is filed under the name uncultured bacterium. Its description in RNAcentral is "bacterial SSU rRNA". It matches the Rfam family "Bacterial small subunit ribosomal RNA", at positions 28 to 417 of the family's 1533-position model. The record is from RNAcentral.